GUGGUGUUUAGGUGCGUGCCUAUGAGCCGCUCGUCUACUCGAAGUCCAACUCCGAUUAUGGCAUUGGAUUUGUCCCAAAGAGGGUGAGAGGCCCGUACGAGUAGACCUGGAGCAUAAGAGUGGCUUUUAGAUGCACGUGUCUUGGAGUCGGAUUGCUUGAGAAUGCAGUCCAAAGUGGGUGGUAAACUCCAUCCAAGGCUAAAUACUGGCACGAGUCCGAUAGUAAACAAGUACCGUGAGGGAAAGUUGAAAAGUACUCUGAAGAGAGAGUAAAUAGUACGUGAAGCCGCUUGUAGAGAAGCUGGUGGAGUCAAGCUCCAUGCCCGAAUGAUUAACAAUGAGAGUUUGUUGUGUUUGGGUCUAGUAGUCGGUGGAUCUGGAAAGGAUUCGGUGGAUUCACGUCCGCUGUAAGCCAUCCGGUGAGUUGCUUGUACCGACUAUGAAGGCUCCUCUCUUAUGUUCUAUCAUCGGGCAGCCACCAUGGUUGAUACCUUGUCUGGUGUGUGGUCGUUACACUGGCUCAUGCGGGCGUCAAGCUUGCUGAGCUCAGGAUGGCGGGUGGUGCCCUGAUUCGCUUGCCGGGUCUGUGGCACACGUAUUGGUUAUAUCCUGCCGGCGAUCAUGCCUUCUCCUACUAUGGAAUGGUAUCAUUCACUCAGCAGUCGUGUCCGCUCAAAUGGUAGCGACUGUAAGAAUCAUGGUGUUGGAGUAGAUUUUCCACCCGACCCGUCUUGAAACACGGACCAAGGAGUUUAACAUGUGCGCAAGUCAAUGGGCUCGUGAAACCCAGAGGCGUAAUGAAAGUGAAAGGUCAUGUAUGUUGGCCUUAGGUGUGAUCCUGGUUGUCCGACACAAAGGCUGCUAGGCGCAACACCGGCCCGUCUCAAGAUGUAGUCACCGGGGCUACGGCCGCUGGUGCAUCAUCGAG
Molecule: ribosomal RNA, 928 nt
Filed under: Unilatus unilatus
Lineage: Eukaryota; Metazoa; Platyhelminthes; Monogenea; Dactylogyridea; Ancylodiscoididae
Description: eukaryotic LSU rRNA
Rfam family: Eukaryotic large subunit ribosomal RNA
Source: RNAcentral